UACGGGGGGGGCAAGCGUUGUUCGGAAUUACUGGGCGUAAAGGGCUCGUAGGCGGCCAACUAAGUCAGACGUGAAAGCCCUGGGCUCAACCUGGGAAUGGCAUUGGAAACUGGCGACCUAGAGUGCGGUAGAGGGUAGUGGAAUUCUCGGUGUAGCAGUGAAAUGCGUAGAGAUCGGGAGGAACAUCCGUGGCGAAGGCGACUACCUGGACCAGCACUGACACUGAGGCACGAAAGCGUGGGGAGCAAACAGG
This 253-nucleotide ribosomal RNA is filed under the name uncultured bacterium. RNAcentral's name for it is "partial 16S ribosomal RNA". It matches the Rfam family "Bacterial small subunit ribosomal RNA", at positions 524 to 776 of the family's 1533-position model. The record is from RNAcentral.